This 29-nucleotide non-coding RNA is filed under the name Homo sapiens (human). Lineage: Eukaryota; Metazoa; Chordata; Mammalia; Primates; Hominidae. The record is from RNAcentral.
UCUGAAGAUGCCUGGCCUCUGCUAUCAGC